GCUCCCGGCCGNNANGGCGGCCGCGGGNNNUCGAUUAGAGUUUGAUCCUGGCUCAGGACGAACGCUGGCGGCGUGCUUAACACAUGCAAGUCGAACGCUGAAGCUUGGUGCUUGCACUGGGUGGAUGAGUGGCGAACGGGUGAGUAAUACGUGAGUAACCUGCCCUUGACUCUGGGAUAAGCCUGGGAAACUGGGUCUAAUACUGGAUACGACAUGUCACCGCAUGGUGGCGUGUGGAAAGGGUUUUACUGGUUUUGGAUGGGCUCACGGCCUAUCAGCUUGUUGGUGGGGUAAUGGCUCACCAAGGCGACGACGGGUAGCCGGCCUGAGAGGGUGACCGGCCACACUGGGACUGAGACACGGCCCAGACUCCUACGGGAGGCAGCAGUGGGGAAUAUUGCACAAUGGGCGAAAGCCUGAUGCAGCGACGCCGCGUGAGGGAUGACGGCCUUCGGGUUGUAAACCUCUUUCAGCACGGAAGAAGCGAAAGUGACGGUACGUGCAGAAGAAGCGCCGGCUAACUACGUGCCAGCAGCCGCGGUAAUACGUAGGGCGCAAGCGUUGUCCGGAAUUAUUGGGCGUAAAGAGCUCGUAGGCGGUUUGUCGCGUCUGCUGUGAAAGCCCGGGGCUUAACCCCGGGUGUGCAGUGGGUACGGGCAGACUUGAGUGCAGUAGGGGAGACUGGAAUUCCUGGUGUAGCGGUGAAAUGCGCAGAUAUCAGGAGGAACACCGAUGGCGAAGGCAGGUCUCUGGGCUGUUACUGACGCUGAGGAGCGAAAGCAUGGGGAGCGAACAGGAUUAGAUACNCUGGUAGUCCAUGCCGUANACGUUGGGCACUAGGUGUGGGGAACAUUCCACGUUUUCCGCGCCGUAGCUAACGCAUUAAGUGCCCCGCCUGGGGAGUACGGCCGCAAGGCUAANACUCAAAGGAAUUGACGGGGGCCCGCACAAGCGGCGGAGCAUGCGGAUUAAUUCGAUGCAACGCGAANAACCUUACCAAGGCUUGACAUA
Molecule: ribosomal RNA, 1011 nt
Filed under: bacterium H04
Lineage: Bacteria
Description: bacterial SSU rRNA
Rfam family: Bacterial small subunit ribosomal RNA
Source: RNAcentral